This 1517-nucleotide long non-coding RNA is filed under the name Vulpes vulpes (red fox). RNAcentral describes it as "lncRNA (ENSVVUG00000019329.1)". Lineage: Eukaryota; Metazoa; Chordata; Mammalia; Carnivora; Canidae. The record is from RNAcentral.
CAUAUCUCAUUUUGAUUCCUAUAUUCAAAGUUUAGCAUGUUGGCUGGCAAUUGGUUCUUGGUUCUGGAAUGAAAUGGAAUGGAAUGGAAUGGAAUGGAAUGGAAUGGAAUGGAGUGGAAUGGAAUAGAAUGCCCUGGUCUUGGUUGUUGGUUGUUGUACAUCAACCAAGUUACUGGUGAAACUGUAUUCCCAGGACAUGAUCUGUGGUAGAUUAAGAGUAAGAUGUGACAUGUGAACAUAAUUCUAACAGGUCUAUGAGGAUUGACUCAACCACUUUGAAUUGAAAUUUGAAGGCUGUUAGCCCAGCCCAUAAAUAUACUUUUCUGAAUACUAUCAACACACCUCUGUAUUGGUGGUGGACUUUGAAAGUGGUGGAUUCAGAAGUUAUGUUUAAUUUUAUGACCCCAUUCUUCUGUUGUUACUGAAAAAGGAGACAACAAACUCAAGUUAGAACAAUUAGAUUUUGUUCCUAGCAAAUUUGGAAUUAGGAUUCAUUAAAACAGUAUCCCUUGGUUAUUUGAACUGAAGAGGAAUUAACUGAGGAGCUGCGUGGAUGGCCAUAUGCACAUAGAAGAAAAAAGUCUCAAGACAGAGUGAAUAGAGAAAUCACAAAGACAGUGCAAAAAAUAACAGACCAGAAAUGCAAAAUGGAACUGGUAGGUUUUCAGCAAAGGAAAGCUACAGCAAUCACAAGGAUUCAGAGUAGAAGUAGAGCUAGAGAAGACAGCCAGCAAUGUAGGAAGGAACUCAAGGGACAAAACCCUUCAACUUGGAAAGAUACCUAUUCAAAUAUGAACGGGGAAGACAUGAGGUGUUUACAAUGUCCUGGGCAUGUAUCACAUGCCAGCCCUAAGCUCAGCCUUUCACCUUUGUGGAUGAAGUGCUCCCUCAAAGGUUGGCUUAUCUUUUGGCUUUAUCCUCCAAUGUGUGGCUUACCCUCUACUCUCAAACUCUGGCUGUUCCACUUUCAUUCUUCCCCCUCUUUAUUCUUCUUUGCAUCCCACUGUCAUGCAUGUGUUUAUGUGUUCAUCCUCAGGUCCCUGGAACUUCACUUCGGGUGAUCAAAUCAUCGAGCUUUGCCAGGGACUUUUUCAGUUAAGCUUAAAAGUCCAUGUCCCAGGAACACCCUAUUUUUCCUUUCUAAGCUGCUCUGGAGAUUGACAUCUUUCUCCAAGCCCAACCAAAGGACUGACUGACCCUGCUGCAUAUUUAUUCCUUCAACAGAAUCCUUCAUCUAAAGAACAUCACUGUCCAUCCCUGUCUCCAAACACACACACAUACACAUGCGUGCACACACCCACACACAGAGUUUAGUUUAGAAAUACACUUGAGAGUGAGACCAAGGCUUUGCUUCAUUGUGGCAAAUGCCUCCCCUUUAUCCUUUCAGUAUUAGCUAAAAUCUACUUGAAGGAUUUACUUCAAUCUACUUAGUAUCUAUGCCUUGCAUCUCUGUGUUCCCUGCUCAGCCUUAUGCUUAGUAGGUUUUACUCUCCCUUUGGCUCAUUUCACCAUGUUUU